Molecule: ribosomal RNA, 463 nt
Filed under: uncultured bacterium
Lineage: Bacteria
Description: SSU rRNA
Rfam family: Bacterial small subunit ribosomal RNA
Source: RNAcentral
AGGAUUAACGCUGGCGGCGUGCCUAACACAUGCAAGUCGAACGAGGUAGCAAUACCUAGUGGCAGACGGGUGAGUAACGCGUGGUCAACCUACCGUUGAGUGGGGGAUAACUAGCCGAAAGGUUAGCUAAUACCGCAUACGAGGCUCGGGGGCAUCCCUGGGUCUUAAAAGGAGCAAUCCGCUCGAUGACGGGACCGCGUCCCAUUAGCUAGAUGGUGGGGUAAUGGCCUACCAUGGCUCCGAUGGGUAGCUGGUUUGAGAGAGCGACCAGCCACACUGGGACUGAGAAACGGCCCAGACUCCUACGGGAGGCAGCAGUGAGGAAUUUUCCGCAAUGGGCGAAAGCCUGACGGAGCGACGCCGCGUGUGGGAAGAAGGCCUUCGGGUCGUAAACCACUGUCGAAGGGGACGAUAAUGACGGUACCCUUGGAGGAAGCCCGGCUAACUACGCGCCAGCAGCCGC